This 239-nucleotide long non-coding RNA is filed under the name Elaeis guineensis (African oil palm). RNAcentral's name for it is "long non-coding RNA (EGUI_LNC031810)". The record is from RNAcentral. Lineage: Eukaryota; Viridiplantae; Streptophyta; Magnoliopsida; Arecales; Arecaceae.
GGGUAAUCCAUAUGAUGAAUUUUGAAAAUUAAAAUACAAUGUGAAUGAUCAUAUCAAGGUUGAUAGUUAAACCCUAGGUCACCUUGAGUAUUUGGAUUAAAAAGAUGAAUUAUAUGGUAACCAUAUGCCAAUAGAUUCUUAAAUGAUGCUUUGCAAUCUUUCAACUUAUCUGGAUGUCGGGUAUCAUUGCUAGAUGGUCACUUUGAUUGGUAUAGGAAGAUUAUUCCUAUACUACCAAC